UUAAGUUAGAAAGGGCGCACGGUGGAUGCCUUGACACUAGGAGUCGAUGAAGGACGGGACUAACGCCGAUAUGCUUCGGGGAGCUGUAAGUAAGCUUUGAUCCGAAGAUUUCCGAAUGGGGAAACCCACCAUACGUAAUGGUAUGGUAUCCUUAUCUGAAUACAUAGGGUAAGGAAGACAGACCCAGGGAACUGAAACAUCUAAGUACCUGGAGGAAGAGAAAGCAAAUGCGAUUUCCUGAGUAGCGGCGAGCGAAACGGAACAUAGCCCAAACCAAGAGGCUUGCCUCUUGGGGUUGUAGGACAUUCUAUACGGAGUUACAAAGGAACGAGGUAGACGAAGCGACCUGGAAAGGUCCGUCGUAGAGGGUAACAACCCCGUAGUCGAAACUUCGUUCUCUCUUGAAUGUAUCCUGAGUACGGCGGAACACGUGAAAUUCCGUCGGAAUCUGGGAGGACCAUCUCCCAAGGCUAAAUACUCCCUAGUGAUCGAUAGUGAACCAGUACCGUGAGGGAAAGGUGAAAAGCACCCCGGAAGGGGAGUGAAAGAGAUCCUGAAACCGUGUGCCUACAAAUAGUCAGAGCCCGUUAAUGGGUGAUGGCGUGCCUUUUGUAGAAUGAACCGGCGAGUUACGAUCCCGUGCGAGGUUAAGCUGAAGAGGCGGAGCCGCAGCGAAAGCGAGUCUGAAUAGGGCGUUUAGUACGUGGUCGUAGACCCGAAACCAGGUGAUCUACCCAUGUCCAGGGUGAAGUUCAGGUAACACUGAAUGGAGGCCCGAACCCACGCGCGUUGAAAAGUGCGGGGAUGAGGUGUGGGUAGCGGAGAAAUUCCAAUCGAACCUGGAGAUAGCUGGUUCUCCCCGAAAUAGCUUUAGGGCUAGCCUUAAGUGUAAGAGUCUUGGAGGUAGAGCACUGAUUGGACUAGGGGUCCUCAUCGGAUUACCGAAUUCAGUCAAACUCCGAAUGCCAAUGACUUAUCCUUAGGAGUCAGACUGCGAGUGAUAAGAUCCGUAGUCAAAAGGGAAACAGCCCAGACCGCCAGCUAAGGUCCCAAAGUGUGUAUUAAGUGGAAAAGGAUGUGGAGUUGCUUAGACAACUAGGAUGUUGGCUUAGAAGCAGCCACCAUUUAAAGAGUGCGUAAUAGCUCACUAGUCGAGUGACUCUGCGCCGAAAAUGUACCGGGGCUAAAUACACCACCGAAGCUGCGGAUUGAUACCAAUGGUAUCAGUGGUAGGGGAGCGUUCUAAGGACAGUGAAGUCAGACCGGAAGGACUGGUGGAGUGCUUAGAAGUGAGAAUGCCGGUAUGAGUAGCGAAAGACGGGUGAGAAUCCCGUCCACCGAAUGCCUAAGGUUUCCUGAGGAAGGCUCGUCCGCUCAGGGUUAGUCAGGACCUAAGCCGAGGCCGACAGGCGUAGGCGAUGGACAACAGGUUGAUAUUCCUGUACCACCUCUUUAUCGUUUGAGCAAUGGAGGGACGCAGAAGGAUAGAAGAAGCGUGCGAUUGGUUGUGCACGUCCAAGCAGUUAGGCUGAUAAGUAGGCAAAUCCGCUUAUCGUGAAGGCUGAGCUGUGAUGGGGAAGCUCCUUAUGGAGCGAAGUCUUUGAUUCCCCGCUGCCAAGAAAAGCUUCUAGCGAGAUAAAAGGUGCCUGUACCGCAAACCGACACAGGUAGGCGAGGAGAGAAUCCUAAGGUGUGCGAGAGAACUCUGGUUAAGGAACUCGGCAAAAUGACCCCGUAACUUCGGGAGAAGGGGUGCUUUCUUAACGGAAAGCCGCAGUGAAUAGGCCCAAGCGACUGUUUAGCAAAAACACAGCUCUCUGCGAAGCCGUAAGGCGAAGUAUAGGGGGUGACACCUGCCCGGUGCUGGAAGGUUAAGGAGAGGGGUUAGCGUAAGCGAAGCUCUGAACUGAAGCCCCAGUAAACGGCGGCCGUAACUAUAACGGUCCUAAGGUAGCGAAAUUCCUUGUCGGGUAAGUUCCGACCCGCACGAAAGGUGUAACGAUUUGGGCACUGUCUCAACCAGAGACUCGGUGAAAUUAUAGUACCUGUGAAGAUGCAGGUUACCCGCGACAGGACGGAAAGACCCCGUGGAGCUUUACUGUAGCCUGAUAUUGAAUUUUGGUACAGUUUGUACAGGAUAGGCGGGAGCCUUUGAAACCGGAGCGCUAGCUUCGGUGGAGGCGCUGGUGGGAUACCGCCCUGACUGUAUUGAAAUUCUAACCUACGGGUCUUAUCGACCCGGGAGACAGUGUCAGGUGGGCAGUUUGACUGGGGCGGUCGCCUCCUAAAGUGUAACGGAGGCGCCCAAAGGUUCCCUCAGAAUGGUUGGAAAUCAUUCGUAGAGUGCAAAGGCAUAAGGGAGCUUGACUGCGAGACCUACAAGUCGAGCAGGGACGAAAGUCGGGCUUAGUGAUCCGGUGGUUCCGCAUGGAAGGGCCAUCGCUCAACGGAUAAAAGCUACCCCGGGGAUAACAGGCUUAUCUCCCCCAAGAGUCCACAUCGACGGGGAGGUUUGGCACCUCGAUGUCGGCUCAUCGCAUCCUGGGGCUGUAGUCGGUCCCAAGGGUUGGGCUGUUCGCCCAUUAAAGCGGUACGCGAGCUGGGUUCAGAACGUCGUGAGACAGUUCGGUCCCUAUCCGUCGUGGGCGUAGGAAAUUUGAGAGGAGCUGUCCUUAGUACGAGAGGACCGGGAUGGACGCACCGCUGGUGUACCAGUUGUUCUGCCAAGGGCAUAGCUGGGUAGCUAUGUGCGGAAGGGAUAAGUGCUGAAAGCAUCUAAGCAUGAAGCCCCCCUCAAGAUGAGAUUUCCCAUAGCGUAAGCUAGUAAGAUCCCUGAAAGAUGAUCAGGUUGAUAGGUUCGAGGUGGAAGCAUGGUGACAUGUGGAGCUGACGAAUACUAAUAGAUCGAGGACUUAACCAU
Molecule: ribosomal RNA, 2920 nt
Filed under: Bacillus anthracis str. A1055
Lineage: Bacteria; Bacillati; Bacillota; Bacilli; Caryophanales; Bacillaceae
Description: bacterial LSU rRNA
Rfam family: Bacterial large subunit ribosomal RNA
Source: RNAcentral